Long non-coding RNA from Daphnia magna, 795 nucleotides. RefSeq lists it as uncharacterized. The transcript has 2 exons. NCBI's taxonomy places the organism in Eukaryota, Metazoa, Arthropoda, Branchiopoda, Diplostraca, Daphniidae. The record is from RefSeq and is a predicted model, not a curated record.
UCGGAGGGGGUUUCUUACAAUUUUAUUAAUUUAUUAAUUAAUUUCUUUAUUUAUUUUAUAUAUUUUUUAUUUUUUUUAUUUUUAACUCUGAAAAAUUUCACGCUGUACAACAGGUGAGUACUCGCAAUGUUUAAACAUCCGGUUGAAUUAAGUUUUUUUUUUUAUUUCGGAAACGUAGAAUUUUUUUGUUUCUUCUUUUAUUUGCAUAGAGGAUUCACGCACACACACACACUCACACUCACAUACCAAAAAUCGUUGCGUCAUUAUUUUACAUUGGGCUACUGACAAAUGAGCAACGCGCUCCAUUGCGAUUAAUGUGACUGAAGCCUGGCGCGCGUCAAUUGUGUGUGUGUGUGUGUGUGUGUGUGUGGUCACACCUGACUGUAUUGCGCAAUGUACGGGCUGUAUACCAGAUUCAGCCGAUUAUUAAUUUUAUUUUAUUUUUUCUGUAUGUUCAAGCGUGAACAGUGUUGAACUGCAUACAUCGAAGUUGGUGGGGCGCCAGAGUCUGUUUGCUCAGCACUGAAAAAUGUGUGAGAACGUUCCAGCACCUUAUUUCGUUACGCAGCCACGUAACGAGUCUGGCGCAAUUGCUAAUUGGCCAGUUGCGAUAGAAUUCCAGAUAAUGGACGUUUCUUUUGACGGAAAUUUGUUUGACUUUGAACGCCAUUGCGAAUCGGAUACGAACAAAAUCUUGCGCACUUUUCUUUUCAUCAUUUUCUUGUUUUGGUUUGUUGUUUAGCCAAUAGGUGAUCGAAGAAAUCAUCAAACGCGUGUGGAAACCAUCUCGUUUCA